AAACUAGGAUUAGAUACCCUAUUAUUUUUGAUGUUAAUUAUUUAACCUGAGUAGUAAUAGAUAUGGUCUUGAAACUUAAAGAAUUUGGCAGUAUUUUAUUCUGUUCAGAGGAACCUGUUCUUUUAUCGAUAAUCCUCGUUGGACCUUACUUGAUUUAUUGAUUUGUAUACCGCCGUUGUAUUGAGGAUCUUUAUAGUGUUUAUAAUUUUCUGUAUUUUACUUUAAGUUAUUUCAGGUCAAGGUGCAAUUUAUGAUUAAGUGGAAAUGGGUUACUUUUAUAUUUAUUUUUGGAUUAUUGAGUGUAAUUUUGAUAUGAAAUUGGAUUUGAAUGUAAUUAUUAUUUUAGAUUGUAUUGAUGAUUUAGUUUCUAGAAUGUGUACACAUCGCCCGUCACUCUCGUUAUUUAUUCGAGAUAAGUCGUAACAUAAUA
This 430-nucleotide ribosomal RNA is filed under the name Cryptocercus relictus (relict cockroach). Its description in RNAcentral is "partial 12S ribosomal RNA". The record is from RNAcentral. Lineage: Eukaryota; Metazoa; Arthropoda; Insecta; Blattodea; Cryptocercidae.